AGGAUACCAGAGUCUGAGCAGGAAGAGAGAGGAUCCAGCAUCUGUGGUGACCUACUACUUUCUGGGAACAGUCCUGGGCUCUCUAUCUGGCUUUCACCCAAAGCAACACGGAGGUGUGUACCAUGCCUACAUGCAGGCCACAGAACAUUGACUUCAUUUAUGUUCACCAAAGAAGAUGUGAGACAAUUUCAAAUCUGAGAAGAAAUAGGCUCUAGCAUUGGUGGUGCUGGGGGAAUCGGGACAGACGAUGUCCAAGCUCUGCUUCAGAAACCUUAGGAAAGGAGUCUGUAGGUGGAAAAACAUUCCAUUGAGAUAUUCAUGAAACCCAAACUAAAUUAUAAG
RNAcentral lists this long non-coding RNA (342 nucleotides) under Equus caballus (horse). RNAcentral describes it as "lncRNA (ENSECAG00000057484.1)". Lineage: Eukaryota; Metazoa; Chordata; Mammalia; Perissodactyla; Equidae. The record is from RNAcentral.